Molecule: long non-coding RNA, 937 nt
Organism: Pseudopipra pipra
Lineage: Eukaryota; Metazoa; Chordata; Aves; Passeriformes; Pipridae
Exons: 3
Source: RefSeq, a predicted model, not a curated record
UAGCCAGGUGGGGGUUGGUCUCUUCUCCCAAGCAACUAUCAGUAAGACAAGAGGGCAUGGUCUUAAGUUCUGCCAGGGGAGGUUUAGGUUGGAUACUAGGAAGAAAUUCUUUAUAGAGAGGGUAAUCAGGCAUUGGAAUGGGCUGCCCAGGGAAGUGGUGGAUUCUCCGUCCUUGGAGGUUUUUAAGAUGAUGUGGCACUUAGUGCCAUGGUCUAGUAACCGCAGUGGUAGUGGAUUAAGGGUUGGACUUGAUGAUCUCAGAGGUCCCUUCCAACCUGGCUGAUUCUAUGAUUCUAUGAUUCUAUGAUUUAACACAGGAAUGUCCUUAGAGAUUCUCAGGAGAUGUCUUGCCAGCUCACUGGCUCCCAUUAGCCUCCAUAGCCUGCGCUUUAAAACAUCUCACAGCUUUAUUAAUGAAGCCAUUUAGCACGUAGCUUGCUGUGUGAUGUAGAAAGUGUAAUUGUUUUAAUUUUACUGAAAAUAUUCACAAAUGCAGGAGGACACACUCAAAUCCAGAAAAUACAGAAGAGUGAUUACCAUGUGUUCUAUAGUAUUGCUGAGGACUCAUGCUGAGGUCAAUGCCACAGAAAAACAAUAAUUAAAAAUGAUGUAACAGAGACAAAAACUGCUACAAAAGUUAUACAACUUUCCUGCAUUCUUGAAAGCAGGGUAAGGAAAAAUGGAUGCCAAUAAACCCCAUAGAAAAUAUGUAGCUGACAUUACUACUGGCAUUGUGAGGAAGAUAAAGCCAAAAAGUAGUCUAGCUUUUGGACAACAGAAGUUCUCAGCCUGCCUCUGAAUGUACCUUUUUAGCCUACUGUAUACCUACAGAUGUGGUUUCUAAGUGUGUUGUUGACUUUUGACCAUCACUUAAUUCAAACUACUGGUCUUGUAAAAGAUUAAAAUGUACACCAUGGUGAAGAGAAAUAAAGUGAAA